Molecule: microRNA precursor, 64 nt
Filed under: Myotis lucifugus (little brown bat)
Lineage: Eukaryota; Metazoa; Chordata; Mammalia; Chiroptera; Vespertilionidae
Description: mir-9242 microRNA precursor family
Rfam family: mir-9242 microRNA precursor family
Source: Rfam by way of RNAcentral
GGCCUCCCUCUGUGGGGUGAUCAAUCACGGGGCUCCGUGAUCAAUGGCUCUGCAGAGGGAGGUC